Molecule: ribosomal RNA, 257 nt
Filed under: uncultured bacterium
Lineage: Bacteria
Description: partial 16S ribosomal RNA
Rfam family: Bacterial small subunit ribosomal RNA
Source: RNAcentral
UACGGAGGAUCCAAGCGUUAUCCGGAAUCACUGGGUUUAAAAGGUCCGUAGGCGGUUUGGUAAGUCAGUGGUGAAAGCCCAUCGCUCAACGGUGGAACGGCCAUUGAUACUGCCAGACUUGAAUUAUUAGGAAGUAACUAGAAAUAUGUAGUGUAGCGGUGAAAUGCUUAGAGAUUACAUGGAAUACCAAUUGCGAAGGCAGGUUACUACUAAUGGAUUGACGCUGAUGGACGAAAAGCGUGGGGUAGCGAAACAGG